This 2301-nucleotide long non-coding RNA is filed under the name Salmo salar (Atlantic salmon). RNAcentral's name for it is "lncRNA (ENSSSAG00000087841.1)". The record is from RNAcentral. Lineage: Eukaryota; Metazoa; Chordata; Actinopteri; Salmoniformes; Salmonidae.
GAAUGGGAGAAACUCCCCAAAUACAGGCGUGCCAAGCUUGUAGCGUCAUACCAAAGAAGACUCAAAGCUGUAAUCGCUCCCAAAGGUCCCCUGGGUGGCAUAAAUGGCUGGGGGGUGUGGCUGCUCUAUGCCCUGGCGGCUCUGUGCUACAGUGCUGUCCUGCUCUCCAGCUCCUCCUUCCUAUUGGACUUCCUGGGGACUGGGAUGUCCCACCCUCGACUGGUGGUGUUACUCCACAUCUCCACAGUGGUUCUCCUCCUGUCUGUUCUGGGAGUUUGUGGGGCCUGCCUGUACAUCAUCCACUGCAACCUUCAGGAGGGCAAGUUUGGGCCACUGUGGGAAUGGGUAGGGGGCUGGACCUGGCCUGGGUCUGGCUCCAGGAGCCAGGGAGGGGCGGCGGGGAUGAAGCCUUACCCAGGGGAGAGCUUCUACAUCACCAUGCUGGGCCUGCUCUUCUCCUGCCUGGCCGGUGUGAGCAGCCUGGGGGACCCCACCUCCACCCAGAGGGACUACACAGCUGUGGUGGAGUGGGACGACAGUGACACAGAGCCCCUUACCCCCAGGGAGCAGGGAGUGGGACAGUCUGAUGAAGAGGAGGGGGUAGGAGACGUGUUGCCUGAACUGACUCAGGGGGAGGUGGGUGGAAGUGGAGACUGCUAAAGGGGUUUGAAUGUGUGGCCCAAAAGGCUUAGUUUCGGACUAGAAUGCAAACCACACCACACAUGGCCUGUAACAGACUUAAUUAGACAGCAGUGCUGGCGCCUUCCCUGGUCAUGUUUUGAAUUCCUAAAGCUUCACUGGACCAAGCUGGUGGAAUCCAGUCAGGAGCCAAAAAAGAGACCAGAUACGUUUCCUAAUGUUGUUUUAAUGUUUGUCUGCCUAAAACAUGCCUUCUCGGGGUAUGUACAGUUGCACAACAUCAAGUCAAUAACCCAUUUAUGGGUUUAAAAAAAAAAAUCCCUUGUGGGAGUUUAUGCCCAGCGUCUCACACUUGACUCCACCAAUAUAAAUCGUUCUUUGGCUAGCUGUGAUAUUUGGAAAAGUGUGACAAGAAUGUAACGCGGUUAAGCUAUUUCUGUCUGUGUGUGACCAGGGAAAGUGAGAGUCUGUAUGUUAUAAUCGAUGUGUGACACAAAUUAUAUGCCCUUCCUGCUCAUCAAUGGGAACAAGCUUUGACCCUGUUCACAUUACUGCAAAAUAACCACUGGGGAAUGUUCCGGAUCAGCGAAUGGUUUGUUACCAUCAGAACCAGAAAAUAUGUUCAAUGAACAGAAGUUCAGACUGCUCAACAUUGCGAUCCUAACAUAGCUCAUGUUUGUACAAUCACCUAGUCUCCUCUUCUAGUUAACAUAAAAAUCCCUAGAUUAAGGUUUUUCUGAUUCUUUUAACAGGUUGUUUUUUAACCUAUGCAUUAUUUUAACUUCUUAAACCCUUUGCACAGUCUUCCAUAGUGACACUUUAAGUUUCCCAAAUGGUGGAAACAAAUCACAGAUUUCUAUGGAAGAUUUACCUGAAGUGUACUGAAACUGGAGUUUCCUUUGAGAAAUUCAAUUUAAAAAGCCCAUUUUGGCUUCUAUUAUGGCCGCUAUAGCUUUAAUCACAAAUUGAGGAACUAUAUAUUAGCAUGGUUGUUUACUACAAUAGGAAAGAUUGAGUGGGGAUAGGAAGUCUUUCCUUUCCACAGUAGGUAGUGUAAAUACAUGGUUCUUGCUUUAAAUGACUUGCUAUCUAAUCAUAUUUGAAUAUGACGUAUUAAAUAUUUGAUGUACUUAAAUAUUUGUUUCAUAAAAUGACACUGCUAUUGGUCACUAGAUACUUCAGAUCACUGUGAAAAUAUAUCCCGGUUUGGCAUCUUUAGACGUCUACAUUACAGCACAAACCACUGUAUGUAUGCUUAUCCUACUUGAAGGUAACCAAUAAGACAAGCUACUUGAUGGUGCUUGGUUGCAUGUGAUGGUAGGACCAUGGAUAUUGACUUGAUAAAUUAAGAUGGCUGCCUAGAAUCAGGUUUUCCUUACCCGCUUAUACCCUCAAGGCCUGUUUCCUGGACAUAGAUUAAUCUUUGUCCUGGACUAGGAAACAUUUUCAAUGGAGAUUAUGUUUUUAGUUCAAGACUAGGCUUAAUAUGUGUCCGGGAAACCGUCAAUCUUUUCCUCAGGUACAUAGGAAGACAUUCCUUCUCUUAUUCCAGGGUCACAGUCCCAUCUCUAUGAAUCAGACUUCUCAUUGUUGUUGUUUAUGAUGCUAUUUAUUCAUUAAACUAUUUUUGCGUAUUUGUAAAACAUGUGUACAUGCAUUUUC